Ailuropoda melanoleuca (giant panda) is the source of this 584-nucleotide long non-coding RNA. RefSeq lists it as uncharacterized. The record is from RefSeq and is a predicted model, not a curated record. Lineage: Eukaryota; Metazoa; Chordata; Mammalia; Carnivora; Ursidae. The transcript has 3 exons.
UUCAAUCUAGGAGACAAUGUGUACAGAGGAAUGAAUCGAGACAAUGGUAUGAGAUGGACCUGGACGGGACUCCCAGCACAGAUGAUUCCUAGCCACGUGCCUUUGGACAGCUUGAGAAAUGUUUUAAAAGCUUCUCACAUUUCCAGUGAAACCCACAGAGAAGAAUUUUGCUUGUUAUCAGCCCUGGAAGCCUCUGAUAGACGGAUUGUAAACUCCAUGAGGGCAAAGAACGCGUCUCCCUGGUUGCCUGCUUUAUGUCCAGCGUCAAGCACAGUACCUGGCAUGUACCUGAUAGUCAACAGAUGUUUGCUGAAUGAAUAAUCUUGCUUUCCCAGCCUCUACUGGUGCAGCUGAAGUUUUGGAUCCAAGCACAGGAAUUUGCAUUUAUUAAAUUUCACAUUAGACCAUCCCAGUUAUUAGUAUUCCAAUAAAUUUCAAUCCAUCUGCUAUUUAGAGUACCUACUGUUUACCCUGAACGUACCUGAUGUUGGGGAGACAAAGAAACUUGCACAAUCUUAGUCUUGAGGAGCUGACAGUCUAGUUUGGGAGACAGAUAAGAAAACGAGUAGUUCUAGGGACGCUUG